RNAcentral lists this ribosomal RNA (421 nucleotides) under uncultured bacterium. Its description in RNAcentral is "bacterial SSU rRNA". It matches the Rfam family "Bacterial small subunit ribosomal RNA", at positions 361 to 774 of the family's 1533-position model. The record is from RNAcentral.
AUCUUCCGCAAUGGGCGAAAGCCUGACGGAGCAACGCCGCGUGAGUGAAGAAGGCCUUCGGGUUGUAAAGCUCUUUUGUCAGGGAAGAAACGGUGAGGGCUAAUAUCCCUUGCUAAUGACGGUACCUGAAGAAUAAGCACCGGCUAACUACGUGCCAGCAGCCGCGGUAAUACGUAGGGUGCAAGCGUUAUCCGGAAUUAUUGGGCGUAAAGCGCGCGUAGGCGGUUUCUUAAGUCUGAUGUGAAAUCCCCGGGCUCAACCUGGGAAUUGCAUUGGAGACUGCAAGGCUAGAAUCUGGCAGAGGGGGGUAGAAUUCCACGUGUAGCAGUGAAAUGCGUAGAUAUGUGGAGGAACACCGAUGGCGAAGGCAGCCCCCUGGGUCAAGAUUGACGCUCAUGCACGAAAGCGUGGGGAGCAAACA